RNAcentral lists this ribosomal RNA (468 nucleotides) under uncultured bacterium. RNAcentral's name for it is "partial 16S ribosomal RNA". It matches the Rfam family "Bacterial small subunit ribosomal RNA", at positions 28 to 507 of the family's 1533-position model. The record is from RNAcentral.
GACGAACGCUGGCGGCGUGCUUAACACAUGCAAGUCGAACGGAAAGGCCCUGCUUUUGUGGGGUGCUCGAGUGGCGAACGGGUGAGUAACACGUGAGUAACCUGCCCUUGACUUUGGGAUAACUUCAGGAAACUGGGGCUAAUACCGGAUAGGAGCUCCUGCUGCAUGGUGGGGGUUGGAAAGUUUCGGCGGUUGGGGAUGGACUCGCGGCUUAUCAGCUUGUUGGUGGGGUAGUGGCUUACCAAGGCUUUGACGGGUAGCCGGCCUGAGAGGGUGACCGGCCACAUUGGGACUGAGAUACGGACCAGACGCCUACGGGAGGCAGCGGUGGGGAACAUUGCACAGUGGGCCGGAGCCUGAUGCAGCGGCGCCGCGUGCGUGAUGACGGCCUUCGGGUUGUGAACCGCUUUCGCCUGUGACGAAGCGUGAGUGACGGUAAUGAGUAAAGAAGCACCGGCUAACUACGUG